RNAcentral lists this ribosomal RNA (254 nucleotides) under uncultured bacterium. Its description in RNAcentral is "partial 16S ribosomal RNA". It matches the Rfam family "Bacterial small subunit ribosomal RNA", at positions 524 to 776 of the family's 1533-position model. The record is from RNAcentral.
UACGUAGGGUCCGAGCGUUGUCCGGAAUUACUGGGCGUAAAGAGCGCGCAGGCGGUCGUUCAAGUCGCGUGUGAAAGCCCCCCGGCUCAACUGGGGAGGGUCACGCGAUACUGAUCGACUCGAAGGCAGGAGAGGGUAGUGGAAUUCCCGGUGUAGUGGUGAAAUGCGUAGAUAUCGGGAGGAACACCAGUGGCGAAGGCGACUACCUGGCCUGUUCUUGACGCUGAGGCGCGAAAGCUAGGGGAGCAAACGGG